RNAcentral lists this ribosomal RNA (425 nucleotides) under uncultured bacterium. RNAcentral describes it as "partial 16S ribosomal RNA". It matches the Rfam family "Bacterial small subunit ribosomal RNA", at positions 354 to 796 of the family's 1533-position model. The record is from RNAcentral.
GUGGGGAAUAUUGGACAAUGGGCGCAAGCCUGAUCCAGCCAUGCCGCGUGAGUGAUGAAGGCCUUAGGGUUGUAAAGCUCUUUCACCGGUGAAGAUAAUGACGGUAACCGGAGAAGAAGCCCCGGCUAACUUCGUGCCAGCAGCCGCGGUAAUACGAAGGGGGCUAGCGUUGUUCGGAAUUACUGGGCGUAAAGCGCACGUAGGCGGAUAUUUAAGUCAGGGGUGAAAUCCCAGAGCUCAACUCUGGAACUGCCUUUGAUACUGGGUAUCUCGAGUAUGGAAGAGGUAAGUGGAAUUCCGAGUGUAGAGGUGAAAUUCGUAGAUAUUCGGAGGAACACCAGUGGCGAAGGCGGCUUACUGGUCCAUUACUGACGCUGAGGUGCGAAAGCGUGGGGAGCAAACAGGAUUAGAAACCCCUGUAGUCC